AGGAACACAGAUCCAUCUGGAUCUCACAAAAAGUAGGACCAUAUCAAUAAUAUUUUAUUUUCCAAAUAUGCCUCGGCCCGCUAGGCAGAGUGUGUGGACCCUGGAAGAAAAGAGAUAAGGGCAAGA
RNAcentral lists this long non-coding RNA (126 nucleotides) under Sarcophilus harrisii (Tasmanian devil). RNAcentral's name for it is "lncRNA (ENSSHAG00000023127.1)". The record is from RNAcentral. Lineage: Eukaryota; Metazoa; Chordata; Mammalia; Dasyuromorphia; Dasyuridae.